GAUGAACGCUGGCGGCGUGCCUAAUACAUGCAAGUCGAGCGGAAGUUGGAGAGCUUGCUCUUCAACUUUAGCGGCGGACGGGUGAGUAACACGUGGGCAACCUGCCCUGCAGAUCGGGAUAACUCCGGGAAACCGGUGCUAAUACCGAAUAGUUUUCGCCACCUCCUGGUGGCGUACGGAAAGACGGUUUCGGCUGUCACUACAGGAUGGGCCCGCGGCGCAUUAGCUAGUUGGGGGGGUAACGGCCCACCAAGGCGACGAUGCGUAGCCGACCUGAGAGGGUUAUCAGACACACUGGGACUGAGACACGGCCUAGACUGCUACGGGAGGCAGCAGUAGAGAAUCUGCCGCAAUGGACGAAAGUCUGACGGAGCAACGCCGCGUGAGUGACGAAGGUUUUCGGAGCGUAAAACUCUGUUGUGAGGGAAGAACAAGUACCAACUAACUACUGGUACCUUGACGGUACCUCACCAGAAAGCCACGGCUAACUACGUGCCAGCCGCCGCCGUAA
Molecule: ribosomal RNA, 511 nt
Filed under: uncultured bacterium
Lineage: Bacteria
Description: partial 16S ribosomal RNA
Rfam family: Bacterial small subunit ribosomal RNA
Source: RNAcentral